GGGUAUCCGCCAUACGUACUUCGUAUAAUCCCACUGAUACGGUGUGGGAGUCUCUACCUGGAACCGUAAACUCCAGAUUACGAAGAGUUAAGUGCACUGC
Vibrio nereis is the source of this 100-nucleotide regulatory RNA element. It matches the Rfam family "Purine riboswitch aptamer". Rfam says of the family: Riboswitches are metabolite binding domains within certain messenger RNAs that serve as precision sensors for their corresponding targets. The record is from Rfam. NCBI's taxonomy places the organism in Bacteria, Pseudomonadati, Pseudomonadota, Gammaproteobacteria, Vibrionales, Vibrionaceae.